CUGCUGCCUUCCGUAGGAGUCUGGGCCGUAUCUCAGUCCCAAUGUGGCCGGCCAACCUCUCAGUCCGGCUACUGAUCGUCGCCUUGGUAGGCCGUUACCCUACCAACUAGCUAAUCAGACGCGAGUCCAUCUCUCAGCGAUAAAUCUUUGGUAUCCAUACCAUGCGAUACAGAUACGUUAUGCGGUAUUAGCAGUCGUUUCCAACUGUUGUCCCCCUCUGAAAGGCAGGUUACUCACGCGUUACUCACCCG
RNAcentral lists this ribosomal RNA (251 nucleotides) under uncultured bacterium. Its description in RNAcentral is "partial 16S ribosomal RNA". The record is from RNAcentral.